AGCAGCCGCGGUAAUUCCAGCUCCAAUAGCGUAUAUUAAAGUUGCUGCAGUUAAAAGCUCGUAGUUGAAUUUCGGGACUAAUAUGUCGGUCGUGCCUCGGUACGUACUGGUUUAUUAGUUUCUCCUUUCUGAAGAACCAUGAUGUUAUUUAUUUGGUGUCGUGGAGAAUCAGGACUGUUACUUUGAAAGAAUUAGAGUGUUUAAAGCAGGCUCACGCUUGAAUACAUUAGCAUGGAAUAAUGAAAUAGGACGUUUGAUUCUAUUUUGUUGGUUUCUAGGAUCGACGUAAUGAUUAAUAGGGAUAGUUGGGGGCAUUAGUAUUCAAUUGUCAGAGGUGAAAUUCUUGGAUUCAUUGAAGACUAACUACUGCGAAAGCAUUUGCCAAGGAUGUUUUCAUUAAUCAAGAACGAAAGUUAGGGAUCGAAGACGAUCAGAUACCGUCGUAGUCUU
RNAcentral lists this ribosomal RNA (450 nucleotides) under uncultured Glomeromycotina. RNAcentral describes it as "SSU rRNA". It matches the Rfam family "Eukaryotic small subunit ribosomal RNA", at positions 569 to 1027 of the family's 1831-position model. The record is from RNAcentral. Lineage: Eukaryota; Fungi; Glomeromycota.